UACAGAGGUCUCAAGCGUUGUUCGGAUUCAUUGGGCGUAAAGGGUGCGUAGGCGGCGGGGCAAGUCAGGUGUGAAAUCCCGGAGCUCAACUCCGGAACUGCACUUGAUACUGCCUUGCUAGAGUACUGGAGAGGAGACUGGAAUUUACGGUGUAGCAGUGAAAUGCGUAGAUAUCGUAAGGAAGACCAGUGGCGAAGGCGAGUCUCUGGACAGUUACUGACGCUGAGGCACGAAGGCCAGGGGAGCAAACGGG
Molecule: ribosomal RNA, 253 nt
Filed under: uncultured bacterium
Lineage: Bacteria
Description: partial 16S ribosomal RNA
Rfam family: Bacterial small subunit ribosomal RNA
Source: RNAcentral